This 230-nucleotide long non-coding RNA is filed under the name Elaeis guineensis (African oil palm). RNAcentral describes it as "long non-coding RNA (EGUI_LNC026157)". The record is from RNAcentral. Lineage: Eukaryota; Viridiplantae; Streptophyta; Magnoliopsida; Arecales; Arecaceae.
CCUGCCAUUCUUCUUCUCCUUCUAAAAUGCUGACUAAAAUCUGAACAGAGGCCGGAGCAGGGUAGGCUCUUCUUUACUUGUUUUUUUCCGCCUUUCUCGUUCGCCUCCCACAAGCAAAGGAUCGAUUCCUACCUACCCCACCCCAUCACGUGUUCUUGGUGCGCUCCAGCACAUGGCUCUCACCUGACAAACUUUGGGUAAUAUCCUUUGUACUCCGGUGAUCUGCCAUU